This 1821-nucleotide small RNA is filed under the name Caenorhabditis elegans. RNAcentral describes it as "Unclassified non-coding RNA W02B9.5". Lineage: Eukaryota; Metazoa; Nematoda; Chromadorea; Rhabditida; Rhabditidae. The record is from RNAcentral.
AUUCCGAAUCAAUCGCCAAUCGGAUCCGAAACGUCAAUUCACUAUUGAUCAGGAUGGAACACUUCGUGUUGCUCACACACUUGAUCGAGAGGAUAUUGCCGUUUAUAAUUUGAUUAUAGAAGCCUAUGAUAAUUGUGAGCAUUAUUUUUUGCUCCAAAAUUUGGAAAAUUUGACCCAAAAACGGGGUUUUUCCAAAAACAAAAACUCACUGAAAUUGUUCAAAAAUUGACGAAAAUUUGGCCCAAAAACGGGCGUUUUUGAGAUUUUUCAAUAGUUUUGCAAAAAAAAAUGACAAAAUUUGACACAAAAAUCAUAUUUUUUGGAAUUUUUUCAAAAUUGUGCGGAAAUUUAGAAAAUUUGGGCCAAAACAACGUUUUUACAAAAAGUUCUAGAUUUUGGAGAAAUUUCAGCCAAAAAAUGUUUCAAAACUGCAAAUUUAAAAAUGUUGCGAAAUUUGUUCCAAAAAACUGCAUUUUUUCGAAUUUUGCCAAAAUUUUGGUGAAAUUGCUUCAAAUUUUUGAAAAUUCGGCAAAAUUUGAUCAAAACAGCAUUUUUUAGAAGCUUUUUAAAUUUUUUCAUUGAAAAUGCUCCAAAAUUGUGAAUUUUUUCCCAAAAUUGACGAAAUUAGUUCCAAAAAAUGCAAUUUUUUACGAUUUUCCACUUAAAAAUGACUAAUUUUCUAUAAUUUUUCAGCCAACAAUAUUGGGCGUCAAAUGGUUGCCGUCUACCUUCAGGAUGUGAAUGAUAAUGGACCCGAACCGUAUACCGUACCGAGACCAUGUAUUUUCCGCGAAAAUACUCCUGUAAAUCAACUCGGAACUUGUGAAAUUCGCGCCACGGAUAGAGAUACUGCGUGGGUUUUUUUUGGAAAUUUAAAUUUGGCCAAAAUUGACCUAAAAAUCUGGAUUUUUGAGCAAAAAUGGAGAAAAAUGUGUCAUUUUUGGGCAAAAUUGACCAAAAAUUGGCCGAAAAUUGCUUGCAAUUAGCCUAAAUUGUGAAUUUUGGUCAAAUGUGAAAAAUUGCCAAAAAUUUGUGAUUGACAAAAAAAACGGCGAAUUUUUUAAAAAAGUGCGAAAUUUUCCAAAAAAUUUCGAUGUUUUUCAAAAAGAAUGUGACUUUUUCGAUAAAAAUGUGACUUUUUCGAUAAAAAUGUGACUUUUUCGAUAAAAAUGUGAAUUUUUCGAUAAAAAUGUGAAUUUUUUCAAAAAACUGACAAUUUUUCAAAAAAAUGUGAAUUUUUUUUUAAACGCGUAUUUUCCAAAAAAAAGCGAUUUUUUCUAUAAAAAUCUCGAUUUUUUUCAAAAAAGUGCAAUUUUCCACAAAAAUCUGUGAAUUUUUCGAAAAACUGCGUAUUUUUCAAAAAAAGAAGCCUUUUUUUUUUCGAAAAACGUCGAAUUUUUUGAAAAAGAAACGGUGAAAUUUCAAAAAAAAAAUUUAUUUAUUGAAAAUAAAACGAAUUUUUAGAAAAAGUGCAAAUUUAAAAAAAAACGGCGAAUUUUUGCCCAAAAAAUCCUAAUUUUUGAGGCUCCCAGACUACAAACUACACGUUUUUUCCCAACAAAAAAAUCCCCAAAUUUUUCAGUGAAUUUGGACCCCCAUUCACGAUGGAAGUAUCGCCCAGCUUCAAAUAUAGUCAAUAUUUGAAUGUUAUAUUCAAUGCGAACGGAGACGGUGGAAAUGGAUCAAUGACCAUUACACCACUUCAAGAAUUUGACCGUGAAGCCCCAGUUCCUGGAAAAAUUUUGGAAAUUCCAUUGAUUUUGGCGGAUCGUGCCGGCCGACGUAACGAGGCUUCGGUUCAUGUGAUUAUUGGAGAUUUGG